RNAcentral lists this ribosomal RNA (891 nucleotides) under Triticum aestivum (bread wheat). RNAcentral describes it as "partial small subunit ribosomal RNA". The record is from RNAcentral. Lineage: Eukaryota; Viridiplantae; Streptophyta; Magnoliopsida; Poales; Poaceae.
AUGCAAUGCUAUCCUCUUCAUACCCACAACGUAGUUUUAUUUCUUGUUUCUAGUUGGAAGCAAACGUUCGGUGUACGUAGAGUCGUAUCAGUGGCAGAUAGGACUUCAGAGAAUAUUGAUCUUACCUUUAGCUCCUUGUGGGUUCAACACUCCAUACUUAUCACUUCCAUCUUCAGGAAUUGCUACGAUGAUUCCCUGCACUUGGGGAUUAUCAGUGAGUUCCACAUUAAACUCCAUACUCGCAACAAGGCCGACAACUUCACAUGGACCCUCGUCGCCGUGUAUGCGGCAGCCCGGGAUUAGUUCAAGGUGGAUUUUCUCCGUGAGUUGGUUAAUCUGGUGAAGGAUAAUCCCUACCCCAUUCUUAUAGGAGGAGAUUUCAAUUUGCUUCGAUUUCCAAAUGAGAAAAGCUGUGGUAGGUUUGAUAAUCAUUGGCCAUUCAUUUUCAACGUUGUCAUAGGCACUCUAGACCUGCGAGAGGUUUCCAUGAUUGGAAGACAAUUCAGUUGGGCGAAUAGUCUUUCGGAACCGACAUAUGAGAAACUAGAUCGCGUUUUAAUGGACACCAACUGGGAAUCUAAAUUUCCUAUGGUGUUUGUUCGUGCUCUACCUCGUAUCGAGUCCAUAUCAGACCACACACCAAUUCUCCUAACUACUAGUUUGCCAUGACCACAACAUAGACGCAAGUUCAAGUUCGAACUUGGUUGGUUGCAUCAGGAUAACUUCCAUGACAUGGUCAAGCAGGUAUGGGAAAAACCGGUGGCCAGGCAUACCCCAAUACACAAAUGGAAUAACAAAAUGCAUGCAUUACGUAAAUUCCUUGGUGGUUGGGCUAGGCAUACGAUGGGUAUCCUCAAAAAGGAGACUCUACGUCUCUUCAUCUAUCAUUGA